ACCUCUCGCUCCCUCCGUCCCAUCCCCUGCUCGGCUCCCUCACCUCCCUCCACGCCGCCGUCGCCUCAAUGCCUCCACCCUCCCCAAUAUCUACAGCCAUGUCUCCGCCUCGCCUCCACCUAAGGGCUGAGCUGGACAUCGACGGGCACCGCCGGUGCAACGGAUCUGGGGUCACCUCUCGAUGGCGCGGCUUGAGUCGACUCCGACAUGAGCGGUGCCAUCCUACUUCUUGAUGGCCCCCUCCCCGUCUGGUGGCAGCGCGAGGAACCCCCCAAGUCGGUGGUGGGGUGGAGGCCCCCCUUCCCUGGCUGCAGCGCGUGGGGCAUCCAGCGGCGGCGGCGAGCUCUGGGCCCCAGCUCGUGCAUCCAGCGGCGGCGGCAGCCUCCCUUAACGGGAUGGCACGCUGCCUGGCAUCUGACAGCCAUGUGGCACCUUGUAAGUACUAGCCGUCGUGAUCAAGGGAGUCAGCUUCUGCUGCAAAUCGUAAGAUCAUUCAUCCUCUCCAGUUACAUCUGGCCCUGCGGGGCACAGCUGCGUGGCUUGUGCAGGUCAGUUGCGGCAGCCGACGUGCCAGGCGGAUGAGGAGCUGGUCGUGCUGGCUUCUGCUCGCAGUCGUGUACCACUCCUCCCAAGGCGAGCAGAUGUGACCGAUGCAGAGAAAUCCGGUGGUGGCCCUUACAGUUUUACUCCAUCAACUGGUGCUCCAGUGCUUCCCCUCAGUUUGGUGUUGCCUCGCUUCGUCCCCCAUCUCCAAAGUCUGAACCAUUUCAAGGAACAUUCAUAUCGCACAGACUUGGAGUUUGCCAUGGUCGACACAAGGAAAAUUAAUGUAGUGCAUGCUUGCUGUAGCCUACAUAAGAUAGAUUUAGUACUGUUGAUCACCCAACACUAGUUAUGAACUAUUUUCGAUUUGGAGAAUGAAUUUGGUACUUUUACUUGAUGAUUAUCAGGAUGGCUUCGUUUUAUAUUCAUGAUGAUACAAUUCAUAUUUUGGUGAAAUCAUUUGUUGCACAAAUGAUUCAAUAUCCAAA
Long non-coding RNA from Setaria italica (foxtail millet), 1031 nucleotides. RefSeq lists it as uncharacterized. The transcript is spliced from 3 exons. The record is from RefSeq and is a predicted model, not a curated record. NCBI's taxonomy places the organism in Eukaryota, Viridiplantae, Streptophyta, Magnoliopsida, Poales, Poaceae.